This 261-nucleotide ribosomal RNA is filed under the name uncultured bacterium. RNAcentral's name for it is "partial 16S ribosomal RNA". It matches the Rfam family "Bacterial small subunit ribosomal RNA", at positions 101 to 353 of the family's 1533-position model. The record is from RNAcentral.
AACGGGUGAGUAAUACAUAAGUAACCUGCCCUAGACAGGGGGAUAACUAUUGGAAACGAUAGCUAAGACCGCAUAGGUACGGACACUGCAUGGUGACCGUAUUAAAAGUGCCUCAAAGCACUGGUAGAGGAUGGACCUAUGGCGCAUUAGCUGGUUGGCGGGGUAACGGCCCACCAAGGCGACGAUGCGUAGCCGACCUGGGAGGGUGACCGGCCACACUGGGACUGAGACACGGCCCAGACUCCUACGGGAGGCAGCAUG